This 303-nucleotide ribosomal RNA is filed under the name uncultured bacterium. RNAcentral's name for it is "partial 16S ribosomal RNA". It matches the Rfam family "Bacterial small subunit ribosomal RNA", at positions 507 to 807 of the family's 1533-position model. The record is from RNAcentral.
AGCAGUCGCCGCGGGAAUACGAAGGGGGCUAGCGUUGUUCGGAAUUACUGGGCGUAAAGCGCACGUAGGCUGACAUUUAAGUCAGGGGUGAAAUCCCGGGGCUCAACCUCGGAACUGCCUUUGAUACUGGGUGUCUUGAGUAUGAGAGAGGUAUGUGGAACUCCGAGUGUAGAGGUGAAAUUCGUAGAUAUUCGGAAGAACACCAGUGGCGAAGGCGACAUACUGGCUCAUUACUGACGCUGAGGCUCGAAAGCGUGGGGAGCAAACAGGAUUAGAUACCCCCGUAGUCCCUGUCUCUUAUAC